Molecule: long non-coding RNA, 1832 nt
Organism: Homo sapiens (human)
Lineage: Eukaryota; Metazoa; Chordata; Mammalia; Primates; Hominidae
Exons: 3
Source: RefSeq, a predicted model, not a curated record
AUCUGCUGAGUGACAAGUGGCGGCAGUGAGGUUGUACGGGAGGACAGGGAGGCCUGUUCCUGGCAGGGGAGCCACAUGCAUGUGGAGCUCAUAUGGGUUUCUGAAAGGGAGACAGGCCACUCUGAUGGGCUCUGUGUCCAAGGACAGGGAGACCACGGGAAGCGAGGCCCAAAGGCUGAGAGGUAAGGUCCAGGGAGGAGAAGGAAAGGGUUUGAAUUCAGAUAGCAACACCGGAGUGGGAGGGAUCUGAAAAAUAGAGCAGAAGCUCCUUCAGGCAUCCGGAGGCUGACCAGACAUGCAGGGAGACAGAGAAGAAAGAGAUGAAGAGAAUGCUGGGUUUUGAGCCUGGGCAGUGGGGAGGGUAGAAAUACAGAAAGAGACAAACAGCCUCAAGGAGAGGUUUGGGGAGGAGAAGAUCAGUUCAAUUUCGUGAGAAGUUCUGCAGGGUGUCUAAGCAGAGACGGCCAGCAGAGUAGGCCGGUAGAAAUGUGGGGAUCUGGGGAGCUGGAAAUCGGGGGCUCAUGGAAGCACUGGCUGAAGAUGUGGACGCGGAGGAGAGAGACAGAAGCGAUGUGCUGGGAGAGGAGGCCCGGCCAGCAGAGGAGCAGGACAAGGAAGAGGACGCCAUGCUUGUGGCUGUGCACUGGAAGCACUGGAGAUCCUGCUGCCACACAGCUUCCGGUCCAGGCUGAGGACGGCGGCCACUUGGUGUGGAAGACACAGGAGCUGUUGCAUUUGCACCCAGGUUGUAAAACAAGAUGGUGAUAUUGUAGAAGAAGAUGCAAAAAUUCCAAUUUUAAAAGCAAAACCAGAAAACUUCAAGGACACGUGGUGCUUGCUGCCAUCUGUUUCCGGUUCUGCAGAGUAUGUGUUUGCUCCCUCCUGCCUCCUGGGAGCUUGGUGGGAGAGUUUGGGAAGUGUUGCCAGGGAACCCACCCUAAGAAGCCUGGCUUGGCUCUUCCUAAUGGGUAUUCGAGCCUCACUAGGCAGUGAGCUGCUCAUAUUCCUGGUGAAGGUGAGAUGGAGCUGUUUUCACAGCAUCUUACACAGUUGUUCCGGUCCUAGGCUGCACCUUAGAAUCACCUGAUGAACUUUCAAACAAUACUCAUGCCAGAGUCCCACCCGGCCCAAGUGCACCAGAGUUCCUGGGAGUGUGGUUAGGGCACACUGUGUUUUAAAAGCUCCCGGGUGAUUCUCAAGUGCAGCUUCCGCUGGGGACGCUGACUGACAGUUUAGACUUCAGAGUUCAGGGAUCCUGAGAGUGUCUAUGUCCCUGGCGGGAAACGGUGGCACAGACAGCGUGUCCCCUACCCUCUACCUACCAACCACACUUAGACUAGUGGGCGAAUGAGACUGCAUUCCAGAAGCCCACCCCCAGCUAAAGAAAGGGUGCAGAGGUUAGGGGCGGGUGGAGAGCAAGACGAAACUUUGCAGGGGGGCAGGAAGGCUGUACUGUGUUGGAUAGUGUCCCCCCAAAUUCAUGUCCUUUCCAGAGCCUCAGAACGUGACCUUAUUUGGAAAUAGGGUCGCUGUAGAUGUAAUUAGUUAAGACACAGGAGUGGGGUAGGCCCUUCGUCCAAUCUGACUACUGUCCUUAUGAGAAGAGAGAGAGAGCACAUGUGCAGAUGGAGGUGCACGCCCAAGCACACCAGGGGCUAGAGGAGGCCUGGGACAGGCUGUAGAAAGUAAAAGUUCCUCUCCAAAGUUUCCCUUCUUGUUAAACUGUUAGCCAGUCGGGUUUUAGUUUAGAUUGUCAUGUCUGGCUCCAGCCAAUGGAGACAAGACACAGUAGCAGGGACAAACUGUGUAAGGAAUAAAAAUUGAUUCCCUCC